UUGACCUCGGAUCAGGUAGGGAUACCCGCUGAACUUAAGCAUAUCAAUAAGCGGAGGAAAAGAAACCAACAGGGAUUGCUCUAGUAACGGCGAGUGAAGCAGCAAUAGCUCAAAUUUGAAAUCUGGCGUCUUCGACGUCCGAGUUGUAAUUUGUAGAGGAUGCUUCUGAGUAACCACCGACCUAAGUUCCUUGGAACAGGACGUCAUAGAGGGUGAGAAUCCCGUAUGCGGUCGGAAAGGUGCUCUAUACGUAGCUCCUUCGACGAGUCGAGUUGUUUGGGAAUGCAGCUCUAAAUGGGAGGUAAAUUUCUUCUAAAGCUAAAUAUUGGCCAGAGACCGAUAGCGCACAAGUAGAGUGAUCGAAAGAUGAAAAGCACUUUGGAAAGAGAGUUAAAAAGCACGUGAAAUUGUUAAAAGGGAAGGGAUUGCAACCAGACUUGCUCGCGGUGUUCCGCCGGUCUUCUGACCGGUCUACUCGCCGCGUUGCAGGCCAGCAUCGUCUGGUGCCGCUGGAUAAGACUUGAGGAAUGUAGCUCCCUCGGGAGUGUUAUAGCCUCUUGUGAUGCAGCGAGCGCCGGGCGAGGUCCGC
This 589-nucleotide ribosomal RNA is filed under the name Pyrenophora teres. RNAcentral's name for it is "eukaryotic LSU rRNA". It matches the Rfam family "Eukaryotic large subunit ribosomal RNA", at positions 1 to 510 of the family's 3401-position model. The record is from RNAcentral. Lineage: Eukaryota; Fungi; Ascomycota; Dothideomycetes; Pleosporales; Pleosporaceae.